This 468-nucleotide ribosomal RNA is filed under the name uncultured bacterium. Its description in RNAcentral is "partial 16S ribosomal RNA". It matches the Rfam family "Bacterial small subunit ribosomal RNA", at positions 28 to 507 of the family's 1533-position model. The record is from RNAcentral.
GACGAACGCUGGCGGCGUGCUUAACACAUGCAAGUCGAACGGAAAGGCCCUGCUUUUGUGGGGUGCUCGAGUGGCGAACGGGUGAGUAACACGUGAGUAACCUGCCCUUGACUUUGGGAUAACUUCAGGAAACUGGGGCUAAUACCGGAUAGGAGCUCCUGCUGCAUGGUGGGGGUUGGAAAGUUUCGGCGGUUGGGGAUGUACUCGCGGCUUAUCAGCUUGUUGGUGGGGUAGUGGCUUACCAAGGCUUUGACGGGUAGCCGGCCUGAGAGGGUGACCGGCCACAUUGGGACUGAGAGACGGCCCAGAAGCCAACGGGAGGCAGCAGUGGGGAAUAUGGCACAAUGGGAGGAAGCCUGAUGCAGCAACGCCGCGUGCGGGAUGACGGCCUUCGGGUUGUAAACCGCUUUAGCAUGUGACGAAGCGUGAGUGACGGUAAUGGGUAAAGAAGCACCGGCUAACUACGUG